GCCUGAACCAGAGCUCUGGGGAAGAUCUGCACCAGGGAGACCAGGGAGGACCUAGUGUGCAGCAUGGCAGCUCUGGCUCAACUCCUCUGUUUCUUGUUACUCUGGGUCCCAGAUUCCACUGGACAAACCCUUUUAACCCAGUCUCCAGCCUCCUUGGCUUUGUCUCCAGGAGAAACAGCCACUCUCAGCUGCAAGGCCAGUCAAAGUGUCAGCAGCUACCUAGCCUGGUACCAGCAGAAACCUGGCCAGGCUCCCAGGCUUCUCAUCUAUCGUGCCUCCAGCAGGGCCCCUGGCAUCCCAGACAGGUUCAGUGGCAGUGGGUCGGGGACAGACUUCACUCUCACCAUCAGCAGCCUGGAGCCUGAAGAUGUUGCAACUUAUUACUGUCUACAAACUUGGAGUACACCUCCCACAGUGAUACAAGCCAUGACAUAAACCUCCCAGGGAAGC
Non-coding RNA from Chinchilla lanigera (long-tailed chinchilla), 450 nucleotides. NCBI's taxonomy places the organism in Eukaryota, Metazoa, Chordata, Mammalia, Rodentia, Chinchillidae. The record is from the annotation of a RefSeq genome assembly.